UAAAUAUCUAAAUUUAAGUAUUUCAUUUACAAUGAUAAGAUGUUGAUUAAUUAACUUUAUUUAAUUAAUAUUAUUAAUAUAGUUUUUUUUAUUUAG
RNAcentral lists this transfer RNA (96 nucleotides) under Schlechtendalia chinensis (horned gall aphid). Its description in RNAcentral is "tRNA-Val". Lineage: Eukaryota; Metazoa; Arthropoda; Insecta; Hemiptera; Aphididae. The record is from RNAcentral.